Anaerostipes sp. 992a is the source of this 89-nucleotide regulatory RNA element. It matches the Rfam family "pan motif". NCBI's taxonomy places the organism in Bacteria, Bacillati, Bacillota, Clostridia, Lachnospirales, Lachnospiraceae. The record is from Rfam.
UGGAUGGUAUUCUGAAAAGAAACUGUACCAGUGAUCAUAAUUUAUUUUCAAAGUAUGAAGCUUAUAUCCAAUAGGAAUAAGACUUAGAG